CACGUAGGGUGCGAGCGUUGUCCGGAAUUAUUGGGCGUAACGAGCUCGUAGGCGGUGUGUCGCGUCGGCCGUGAAAACCUGCAGCUUAACUGUGGGCGUGCGGUCGAUACGGGCAUCACUGGAGUUCGGCAGGGGAGACUGGAAUUCCUGGCGUAGCGGUGAAAUGCGCAGAUAUCAGGAGGAACACCGGUGGCGAAGGCGGGUCUCUGGGCCGAUACUGACGCUGAGGAGCGAAAGCGUGGGGAGCAAACAGG
RNAcentral lists this ribosomal RNA (254 nucleotides) under uncultured bacterium. RNAcentral describes it as "partial 16S ribosomal RNA". It matches the Rfam family "Bacterial small subunit ribosomal RNA", at positions 524 to 776 of the family's 1533-position model. The record is from RNAcentral.